GUCCCAGUUCGGAUUGUAGUCUGCAACCGACUACAUGAAGCUGGAAUCGCUAGUAAUCGCGGAUCAGAAUGCCGCGGUGAAUACGUUCCCGGGUCUUGUACACACCGCCCGUCACACCAUGGGAGUCGGAAAUGCCCGAAGUCUGUGACCCAACCGCGAGGAGGGAGCAGCCGAAGGCAGGUCGGAUGACUGGGGUGAAGUCGUAACAAGGUAGC
RNAcentral lists this ribosomal RNA (215 nucleotides) under uncultured bacterium. RNAcentral's name for it is "partial 16S ribosomal RNA". It matches the Rfam family "Bacterial small subunit ribosomal RNA", at positions 1285 to 1500 of the family's 1533-position model. The record is from RNAcentral.